This 222-nucleotide ribosomal RNA is filed under the name Vibrio alginolyticus. RNAcentral's name for it is "partial 16S ribosomal RNA". It matches the Rfam family "Bacterial small subunit ribosomal RNA", at positions 1 to 220 of the family's 1533-position model. Lineage: Bacteria; Pseudomonadati; Pseudomonadota; Gammaproteobacteria; Vibrionales; Vibrionaceae. The record is from RNAcentral. RNAcentral also lists the same sequence under 1 other name.
AAAUUGAAGAGUUUGAUCAUGGCUCAGAUUGAACGCUGGCGGCAGGCCUAACACAUGCAAGUCGAGCGGAAACGAGUUGUCUGAACCUUCGGGGAACGAUAACGGCGUCGAGCGGCGGACGGGUGAGUAAUGCCUAGGAAAUUGCCCUGAUGUGGGGGAUAACCAUUGGAAACGAUGGCUAAUACCGCAUGAUGCCUACGGGCCAAAGAGGGGGACCUUCGG